This is a long non-coding RNA of Oncorhynchus tshawytscha (Chinook salmon), 6495 nucleotides long. The record is from Ensembl. Lineage: Eukaryota; Metazoa; Chordata; Actinopteri; Salmoniformes; Salmonidae.
CGAUUACAGAACGCUACACAGCUCAGCGCACCGGGGCUCCCUCCAACUACCCCCCCACCCCGCUCGGCUGAGAGAAGAGAAGGGGAGGGGGAGAUCGCUUCUUCGCGUCUCUCCCCUGGCAGCCCAGCUGCCGUGCAGUCUGCAAGAACACUUGAACAGAGGUAAUGGCGUUGUUUGGAUAUGGAUAGGGCUACACGGCAAUGAGAGAGGUAAAGCGCACGACUGGACCAGGACUGGAUGGACCAGGGCAACGCGGGAGGAUAUUUAUCUGAAGAGGGCAUCUGGGUCUUCGAUAUGGGAGAAUUUUGGGCAAAGGAAAGUCGUCUUGCGGAAAAACUGUUCGCUUUUCAGAGAGGGGGGAUGGGGACAUUGGACACGGCACCAUCUAUACCCCAAAUCAAUCCCUUUUCACUUAGAAAAACGCAAGAAUGCCAAAACAAUUAGUCUGGAAAGGUGUGUUUUCGUAAGGAACAUGCUCGACUACCGGCAAAUACCAGGGAUUGGUUUCAUAUUCGAAUUCUACAACAACAUAGGAACGCAGCCUAUGCGCGCGACACAACGCCGUUUGGAACGCCCCCCCAUGACAAGGAGGUGUCAGCUCCAGGGCGCGAGAUUCAAAUUUUUGCAUAAUGUGGUAUAUUUUGUAUUCUUGAGCUAAACUGCAUCCGUGCUCACUUCUCAUGUUACAUGCAAUCUGCCAGCUCUGAAUGAGUUUAAAUCCUGGAAAAUCGAACAAUUGCGUUUUCAUCCACUUUGCGUUAACAUAUAUAGAGGAGUUCCAAAUCAAUUGCAACGCUUUAUGGAAAAUAUUUUGUAAAAUAGUAAUCGGAGCUGCAAAGGAUUUAUUUUUAACAAGAAAAGGUGGGCAAUGUUCUAAAUGUGUUUCCCCUCUAUUAUAUUAUUCAUUCAUAGUUGUGAUGCAGAUUGUAGAGCUAAUUUAUUUUGUAUUCGAUCAUUUGGAUAGUCUUUGCGGAACAUAAAAUGCAUGAAAUUAUCUGCAACAAUUUAAUGUAGCAUUAUGAAAAAGCUAAUAUAACUUCUAUAGUUAGUUUGAAAAUGUAGGCUAUUUCUAUAAUAUGGACAAUUUGAGAAAGAUUAUUAUCCAGCAUUUGUAAAUUGUGUGCAUGUUAGUAAUAAAAUUAUUUACCAUACACAUAACAACGUAUGUUGUUUAGGACGCGUUUCUAUUCAAUUUGAAAUAAUUCGAUUUAUUUCACUAUGUACAUUUAAUUAUCAUUUAUUUUAAAUAUCAAACGUAGUAGAAAACUAACCAGAUAUACUAAUAAUAUAUAUAUCUCCAGAAUUGUUGUGAAAGUGCCCUUUCACUCCUGUAGGAGCCAUUGGUGCAUUGAAGGCAUCAAAUCCACAGCAAUAAAACCUUAAAAUCGAUCAAACGGGCGGGGUGAGCGCGCCUCUUUCGCCAUGUUGAAAUCCUUUGUGUAGCCUAUGUAGAUAAAGACUGUUGUUAACCAUAAACUUUUUUUUAAAAACUUCAAUACAAUCAACUAUAUCUGGUUAAACAUUAAGCAUAGUGUGACCCUGAAUUGUUUUUGAGGAUAAUAGGUUUAGAAGAUUUGAUUUCAAAAUCAACUCAUUUGACUUGAUUUUACAAUGUGUUUAUAGAUAAGACUACUUCAAUUCCACUUUAAACUCCUUUCUGAUCAUUUAUUUUCAAUGUGUGAGUGUGAUACAGUAUAAUUAAAAACCAUGACUAAGUUUGCCAAUUUUGUGUGCACAUUAGUAUGUUAAUUGAUUAAUAUCUAGUCGUUGACACUGCAUUAUUUGAUAAUGCCACAAUUUAUUUUGCAUUACAAUUAAGCCUAUAUAUGAUCUAAGAAUAAUCCAUUUUAGUAAUAUUAUUCCUUCAUUUUUAAAUGUGUUUAAAAAUAAGUUAUUGUUGUCAAGGCCACUGGAAAAUUCCAUCCUAAAGUAGAGUCUGCAAAAUAAAAAGUUAGCUACAAAAGGUUAGUGUUGAAUGAUAGUUUGUUUUUAAAUAAAAUCCUAAAUGACCAUGUUAGUGUUUAUAAACAUGACUUAAUGUGAACACAUUUAGCAAAAACAAAGAAACCUUAAUGAGUUAGAGUUUAAAGAGACUUCUCAAAAUGUAUACAACUCCUUAUUAUACAAGUAUUAUUAUUAGAAUGAUUAUAAUAAUAAUAAGGCUAUAACAAAAAAACGUUAUUUUGGAACGUCUUGCUGCACUAUCUUCUCCCAUAUCGUGUUCCCACAUACAGGCCUUUAACACAGUUUGACUGCUUGGUUUAAUCUUGGCCUAAACAAAAUUCCACCAUGCAUACUACCAUUCACAUAGAAUAAAAUACGUGUUUAUUUAUUGUCGAUUAUGAACGACAUAUAGCCUACACACACAAGUCUGCAUUAUGUGGUGUGCUUUUGAUCAACAACAAGUGGGCAUUGAGACAAAUUAGAAAUAACUCUAGCUCUUUUUUUGUCAGAACGUUUGAACGUAACGUUUUUGAGGAAUGGAAUGGAGCCUAUGGAGGCUCAAGCAGGGACCUGUGCACAGCUCUAGUGAAGUUAAUUCGAAGUGACUGCGGCGGGAGGGAGAGCUUUUGACUAUGAACAUGAUGACGGUGAUAAUAGCAAUAAUAAUAACACCGCCAGUCUGAACACAGGGCCUAACCUUAAAUAUAUUAGGAAGAGAAUAUCAACAUUUUCACGACAUUGAUCUCUUUUGAAUUAACAUUGUCCCGUGUGGCUCAGUUGGUGGAGCAUGGAAUUUGCAACGCCAGGGAUGUGGGUUCGAUUCCAACAGGGGACCAGCACGAAAGUGUAUGCACUUAAUACUGUAAAUCGCCCUGGAUAACAGCGUCUGCUAAAUUACGUAAAUGAAUAAAAAAAUCACUUGAAGAAAAGAUAACUACAAGGCAAUGUCUUCAGAAUUUCAAUAUAGGCUAUAGGACAAACCCUGAGUAUCUUAAAACAUAUAUUGUUGUUAGAUGGUUAUUGCAUGACUCUUUAGGAGCAUAAAUGCACAGAAGAAAACUGGGUGCAGCAUACGGGUGCUUCGAUGUCGCAUGUUUUACUUUUGGAUGGGGGAACUUUCCGUAGAGUUUAGCUAGCCUAACAAACAAUUCAGUCCCCUUAGAUAAGAUUGUCAGUAACAAUGGCUUAUUUGUUGAAAGAAAAAAAUAUUAUCAAAAUUCCAGUAGGCCCACAUUCAGUGUAAUAUUAAUAAUAAAUAAAAAUAAGUAUAAAUGUAAAUAUUUAUAUAAAACGUAGGCCUACAGUAAAUAUAGUAUAUCACACAUUUAGAUAUGGCUGCAAGAACACCACCCAGUUUAGAGAAAUGUAGCCUACAAUGUCCUUAUUUGUAUUUCGAGUCUUCAAAUACUUCCAAAAUGUUACACUGUGAACAUAUGUUGUUGUGCGUAAAGAUAAAACAUUAUCUCGAAUUCGUUGUAGAAUUUAAAAAAAUACAUACAUCUAAUAUGUGAGGGGAAGGGGCAAUUAUAGCGUUGAGACCUGCAGAAUCAUGUAAUGAGGUAGGGCUACUGAUCAACAACUUGGACAUGGGCAGGAAGCUAUAGCCUAUAAGCCCCUGCAUUUAACUUGCAAUCAUUUACUACAAAGGCAAAUAGAAUAUGUUUCUAAACAACUGCAUUUGUUUCACGAGAAGCACCGGUGUGAAGAAAACACUUCAAAUCAGAAAGCAAGGACUAUUCAGUCUCCGUAGAUGUAGGCUGUCCUUUGAUGGCUUGCGUUCCAAACCCCCAUUUUGUACUCUGGCCCUUUACGCACGAUGUUUUGUAAGCGGAACGCGUCUUAAAUAUUAAAGAAACCCACCAGCCUCCUGAAACAUUAUUUGUUCAUCAGGGGAUAGGCCAAGAGAGCCUUAUUUUACACAGCUUGGGGAUUUCUCCACAAAUAGGCCUAUGAGCUGCUUAUAUGGGCGUUAUACCAGCUGGCUACCAUCUCGCCUCAUACAACUGCACCAUGUUUUGUAUCACGCUCAAACUUUUGACUAGAGGUUAUGUGAUUUUAAACAAUAGUGGAGAUAGUGUGGUCCAUAGUAGAGGAUAGCAGCAGCCACGUCGAAGUAGUCAACCGAUUUCAGUUCAGAUCAUUAAGUUGCCUUAUUUGCAUAGAUAAAUCAUUAGGCUACUGUCUCUGAUAGUCUACAAUACUUCCAGUAGGCCUACUUUGCCUUGGGGACUUGGCUGCAUCAGAAUUGAUUUCUUAUUUUUCUCGACGUAGAUGAUAGGCCUGUACAGUUUUCUUAGGCAAGACAGGCCAGAACUACCAGUGGUCAAAGAUACAAGAUGCCUUCCUUCGCUACCAGUUGAUUGUUUGGUGGCCAGCAAGGCAGAGUAGCUGCCUGCCUGCAGCGGGGGAAGGGGCCUCCAUCGCGACGGGGGCUUCUCUCGCCACCCCGCUGAGUUGGGACGGGCAGAGAGCGAAUCCUCACCCUAGGCAUACUGCGCCCAGCUAAGAAAUACAAUACAACGUCAAUUAAAUGCAGUCUCCGCUGCGAUUUACUGCAAUGAAUUAUAAAUUGGUAGUCUUUCUCACAUACUAGGAUCUUUCAAAUUGCAAUAAUAGGCAAAAUCGUUAUGUAAAAUAUGCAUACAUUUUACCACAUUUAGUCUCGCUGGUAAACCAUCUCUCGCUUUUGUUGCAAAUUCCAGUCUAAAUAACCAGGUUUGUUUCAAGGCGUCAGUGUUUAAGGUCAAAUUGUUUUAUUGCUAGAUUGCUAGUUAUCCUUUUUUACCAGACGUUGGAAAAUAAAAAUGUACACAUUUGCGAAUAACAAAAUAAUUUCGUUGCUGUCGACCGUGAAAUGAGAACAGGGAAAAUAUGGUUUAGCGGUAAACAGUGUAAACAAUAAUUACAAACAGAAGGGGGAGGACGUGGCUUGACAGACAGACGACACGCAGGGCUUCAAUCCCAGGUCUGCAGGCCCAUAGGGCUGAAAGAGAAGCAAGCGGGGUCUACCUUCUAGACCUCAGGUAUUUUAGAAGUAGACCUACAUACGAUAUAAACUCGUACUUAUUUAAUGAAAUAACUUCGAUAAUGGAACAGAAUGACAUGGUUUCAUCAUUCUGUUUUCAAUCUAGUAAACUAUGGAUUUCACAAGCUGUUGUUGCAAGUAGGCUUCCAUGGAUCCAACCAUGCACAUUCAAUAGCCGUUUCUUCUAUGUGCGUAUACAUACUAGACAACUAUAAGGCUUUUCAUUUGCAGAUGUACCAUGAUAUGUUCACGUACAAGCCUUACCCAAUUACCUCGUCGGUGUAGAAAAAUGUGAUAAAACAACAACAUCGAUUCAAUGUUUCCCUCCUUCAGCCUUUCAUUUCGCAGACACAUUCAUGUUAACAGGGCGAGACGAGGCGUGUUGGGAACUGUGAAGAAAUAUUAUCAAGGUACAUUUAUUGAGGUAGCUAGAAUAUAGGACAAUUGCGCACGUGCUUCAGAAGCAUAUCUCCAUCGUGGAUCUUGGCACGUGAAGUCCAUGCCUGGUCAAGUGAUUUUACCUUCUAUUUUAAAAGUAGGACUGUUUUAUGAUUCAAUUUCAAUGGGUCAAAUGUCUGUUUUAAUCGUGUAUUUGGAGAUAAAAAUGUCGAUAUAUAGUUCAAGAUUUUUUAAAAAGUGAAUUUAGAUUAAACAAUCUAAACUCACAGCAAUAGCCUGCCACCUUUUCUAUAAUUUACACUCCUUAAAUUAACAAUGUUGAUGUUGGUAUGUACAAAUUGAUUCCCCUGUCAGUGUCAAUGCCUUUCAUGUUUUUUUUUUUUGUAUGAUUUUUAAAUCUGUAAUAUAUGAAUAAAUAUGAAAUAUGAAUUCUUGAUUUUAUGAUGUUUUCAAUUCACAUAAUACAAUUCAUCAAAUCUUUUACUAAAAUAUGAUGGGGACAGAAAGUAAUUGAAUGAUAGUCUGGACAUUUAUAUAGUAGCUAAAUAAUUUCAGGAUUUCCCAUGUAAACUGUAAAUGGGAUUGAAUUUAUUUAGGCUAUGACCAAUGUUUUGUAAGACUUGUACCUAUGGACAUGCCUCUUCUUCCCGAUCUCUUUCUUUGCAUUCCCUCUUUCUUUCUCUCAAUCUCCUCCUCAGCCGCAUGGGCCAUGGAUGAGAGGCGUUUAUACCGCUCCUCUCCUCCACCCUCCAUCCUGUAUUAAAUCCCACUACAAAUGUUUUGACAGCAAUAAAAAUUAUUUUUAAAAGAUCAGCACACGCAAAUCCUCUGUUGCUGAACCUUUAGCUCCCUGUCUCUAUCCUGCUCUCCCGUCUCUCUCCCCUCCUCCCUCCCUCUCUCUUUCUCCGGGGUGUAGGAGAGUCGGGUGUGGGGUUGUAGGGAGAAGAGCAGUGGUGCUUAUUUAAUUAGUUGUGGACCUCCCAGAGUUUCAGUAUUUCCAAUGAAUGAUCCAAUGAUCAACUAUUCUAUGCUGAUCUAUUAUAAUGUAUGGUUUGCAUUGAAAUGUGCCAAAGUCCCAUGUCAUUUUAUGUUGUUGUGUUACAAUGUAAUGUACAAUGUUAUCAUAA